Long non-coding RNA from Solea solea (common sole), 677 nucleotides. RefSeq lists it as uncharacterized. The record is from RefSeq and is a predicted model, not a curated record. The transcript has 2 exons. NCBI's taxonomy places the organism in Eukaryota, Metazoa, Chordata, Actinopteri, Pleuronectiformes, Soleidae.
UGUUACUCAGCCCUUCACUGACUACCCUCAUCCACACUGGUGCCGUGUACCCAAGGCUCAGUUCCUGCUAACGUGGACACACAACACAUGCCUACAAAUGCCACCUUGACUGUGUGCAAAGCAGCCAUUAUCACUGUGGCUUUUGCACAAAAGUCUUUGUGAAAAUGUUUUGUCCGUCAGUUUAAAACCUGCUGCAAGACGGCAACCACAAAUAUUACUGCAACUUUGGCAUCCACAGUGACUCCAGCGUCCACUCCAGCAUCCAUGGUGACUCGGCGUCCACAGCAGACCAUCAGAAAAAAAAUUAUACAAACAAAAACAGACAUGUUUUUGCUUGCAGUUAUGGGAGGAAGUUUGCUCACUUUACCAAGCAAGGCAGAGCAACACUCUAUGACGACCCACCGCCUGUCCUCAGGAUCAGCCGCGAAAGAAGGCGCUCAGGCUGCACUGUGGUCAGUAAUACAUGCUACAUGGAUUGUUACAAAAACUGAGUAACGGAAAUUAACUUGUUAUUUUGUUAGUAGAUGUGUCUCAUGAGGAUUAUUUAUUCUUAUUAUUAUUUUACGUCAUGUUCAUGGGUGUCUUUAGUCUGUUGGCUAUUUGAUCUACUUCCUUGGAGACUGUUUUAUUUGAUUCGGGAAUGGUUGUUCAUCUGUCCUAAUAAACUUUGGAAAUGG